RNAcentral lists this ribosomal RNA (253 nucleotides) under uncultured bacterium. RNAcentral's name for it is "partial 16S ribosomal RNA". It matches the Rfam family "Bacterial small subunit ribosomal RNA", at positions 524 to 776 of the family's 1533-position model. The record is from RNAcentral.
GACGAACCGUACGAACGUUAUUCGGAAUUACUGGGCUUAAAGGGUGCGUAGGCGGCGCAGUAAGUUGGGUGUGAAAUCCCUCGGCUUAACCGAGGAAUUGCGCCCAAAACUACUGUGCUCGAGGGAGAUAGAGGUGAGCGGAACUUAGGGUGGAGCGGUGAAAUGCGUUGAUAUCCUAAGGAACACCGGUGGCGAAAGCGGCUCACUGGAUCUCUUCUGACGCUGAGGCACGAAGGCCAGGGGAGCAAACGGG